AAUUUGGCAAUUGAUUCUUGCUCUUUCCGUCUGAAGAAGAAGAAGAUACUGGUGCUGAUAGUGGUGACUUUGGUGAGCUGCAUCUUUGUGUCUGUGCUUUUCCAGGCUGCAUGGUAAGGAACAGUGUGGAACAAAAAGUGCUUAGAUCAUGAACUUCAGAGAAGAAAACUUCGAUAAAUAAGCAGGAAGGAAGAUUCUAAAAUGUCAAACAAACAAUUAAAACCGUAGUUAAGCGAAAUAAAAAUCAGAAGAUGUCAGAUGUUUCAUAAAGUAAACAUUAAAUUUUGAGUCAAGAACCCUCUCUGUAUUAAAUACUCUGUUAUUCAUUCAAUAUUCAUAAUGACCUGAAAAGUUUAUAUGGGCUGUAAAACAAAUUAAUUGUGAACUGAAACUACAAGAGAGUUAAAAUGACAUAGAUGAGUUCUUGGAAUUUGUUGCAGAAGAAAGAGAAGAUCAAUCUGAAAUUUUCACCUUAAAUUCGAGAUCUAUUUCUUUGGUUGCAGCCUUGGACAAACUUCCCAACAAAUCUUUUGUAAUCAAAAUAUCUGAAUUGCCAGCAUGAAUCUGAGGCUGUUCUUCAAUAUGUCCACUCAAUACCCUCACCAAUGAACUACUCACAUCUGCUGCCAUUUCUAAGCCUUCAACCAGAGUGC
RNAcentral lists this long non-coding RNA (653 nucleotides) under Theobroma cacao (cacao). RNAcentral describes it as "long non-coding RNA (TCAC_LNC004051)". Lineage: Eukaryota; Viridiplantae; Streptophyta; Magnoliopsida; Malvales; Malvaceae. The record is from RNAcentral.